This 388-nucleotide long non-coding RNA is filed under the name Pan troglodytes (chimpanzee). RNAcentral describes it as "long non-coding RNA NONPTRT012808". Lineage: Eukaryota; Metazoa; Chordata; Mammalia; Primates; Hominidae. The record is from RNAcentral.
GGGCUUGGUCUGCAGUAGGAGACAAUUAUUCUGCAAUCUUCCUGGUCCUGCCAUUAAUUUAUUUAAGGUCCUGGAAGAAUACUUAAAUUGGUCUCAAGUUCCAUCAGCAAGAUGGGACGACUCCAUUGCAAAGAAACAUAAUAUAUGGAAAAAUUACUAGAAAAUCUAGGAAAACUGACUGAAUGCUUUGGAAAGACACAGUCAAGAUUAAAAAAAAUGUGUCACAAGAAAGUUUACAGAACCUACUCAAACUCAAAGAGAAAUCAGAGACUAAAUUCUCAAAACUGGAAGCUGCCUGCAGCAUCCACACUCUUCAGCCCUGUACUAUGUGAUGUGUAUUACGAAUGGAGCCACCAGCAGUAUUUGUAUGAACAUGAGACAAUGUGUG